GAUUCUUAUUAGGGGAAGGUGUGUUGUAAAGGAUGAUCCGCCUAUUAAUUUACUUUUAUUAUGUUGGUGUAUAUCUGGUUUAAUAUUAUUGUUUAAUAACUAAAUUUGUGUAUAUUUAUUUAAGCCAAGUCUAUGUGCUGCUUGUAAAAGAUUUCAUGCGUUACAUUUAUAUUUAUAAAUUAUGAGAAUUUAAUUUUUAAUUAGGACUUAAAAGUAA
This 217-nucleotide ribosomal RNA is filed under the name Mesocestoides litteratus. RNAcentral describes it as "partial small subunit ribosomal RNA". Lineage: Eukaryota; Metazoa; Platyhelminthes; Cestoda; Cyclophyllidea; Mesocestoididae. The record is from RNAcentral.